This is a long non-coding RNA of Drosophila innubila, 223 nucleotides long. RefSeq lists it as uncharacterized. The transcript is spliced from 2 exons. The record is from RefSeq and is a predicted model, not a curated record. NCBI's taxonomy places the organism in Eukaryota, Metazoa, Arthropoda, Insecta, Diptera, Drosophilidae.
AACUCAGCCGCUGUGAAAGCUAAUCAAAUUUUCUCAGUUUCUGCGUGAAACUUUAUAAGUUCGUUUUCCUGCUGCCUGCCACAGCUGCUGCCAAGUUGAGCGGCAAGAGGAACUAUUUGGGCCAAGCUGUCACGUAGCAGGCACAUUUUUUCAUAUUAUCCAUUGCAUAUUUCGGCGACUUCUUUGCUGGUUCAUAGACAUGCCGUGAAGUGCCAACAAAAGA